Molecule: long non-coding RNA, 1240 nt
Filed under: Macaca mulatta (Rhesus monkey)
Lineage: Eukaryota; Metazoa; Chordata; Mammalia; Primates; Cercopithecidae
Description: lncRNA (ENSMMUG00000053663.1)
Source: RNAcentral
UCCCCAGCCCCAGCCCCGCCAUCUCCACCAGACCUGACAGUUCACAAAUCUCAUCUUGGAGAUGGUUUCCCUGCUCCUGGGGCAGUUCUGGUACAGUUCAGGAUGGCCAGGACUGUGGGUUCUCAGCAGCCUGGCCUGGUGGACAAAGGAAAUGCAAGAUGGUGGCAAACCAGCAUUCAGCCUCAUCUGCUCCUUUCCUCCCCUGCCUGAUCAGCCAGCCUGCAUGAGCCUCUGUAUUUGUUUCUGGCUUCUCCAUGGAACUCAGCCUACAGCCACAAAGCAAACCACGGGGCCAGUGACAGAGAAGGCAGAGGGGAGUGAGGAGUGGGAAACACCUAACCUGUUCUCAAGGAAGGGAAUGACUGGCCAAGAUGAGAUUCAAUCGUAUGUCCACUACCUCCUGGCCUGCCACCUGGCUGUGAGUCCUUUGUGGGUGGUGUCCAGAGGCGGUUCCAGUGACCAGGCAGGUGCUGAGAAGCACAGGCAGACCAAGCAGCAUGGAGGCCACGGUGAGACUCCUGAGGGAGAAGGCAAACCCAGAUAAGGCUCAUCAGGACCAGAUCUUGUGGGAACUGGAGAGAACAAUCCCAGAUGACGUCCAUUGGGACCAGAUCUUGUGGGAAACACAGAGAACAAUCCCAGAUGACGUCCAUCGGAACCAGAUCUUGUGGGAACUGGAGAGAACAAUCCCAGAUGAUGUCCAUCAGGACCAGAUCUUGUGGGAACCGCACUUCAAAGUGCUGCCAACCCACAAACACUGCAUGCAGCAUCACAUGGAUGCCCUCUGCAAGGGGGAGGGGAUGCUUGCAGGAUGGAGGAAAUACCAGAGUGGCAUGUGGGGCUCAUUAAAGGAGAAGUUACCCUCUCACACCCUACCUCCUUCUAUAGACUUUAGGAGUGAUGUCUUUGGAAGGGGCUCGCCUACAUCACAUCAGAUGUAUUAAAUAUAUUAAAACACAUCCACGCCUCAUGGAACAUUUUCACUGUAGAAAUGAGAGGUUGAAUAUCAUUUUCUAAUUUUGUUUUUGAAACAUAACUGUAUUUUGCAGGAUUGCUAUGUGUUGGUUUUGUUGCUAUUUUGGUUUCUUUCUAACAAGCUAAAGGUUUCUACUCAGGCUUCUGACCUCAUAGACCUUUCGAAAGCUCAGGGUUGUGGAAGCCUCUGGGCCCAUGGUGUUCCCCUGAUGAGGCAGCCCUGCCCUCCUUUCUCAUCACUGUGCACGCUCCAUGGGCAGUCACA